RNAcentral lists this ribosomal RNA (683 nucleotides) under Prochlorococcus sp. scB243_496A2. Its description in RNAcentral is "bacterial SSU rRNA". It matches the Rfam family "Bacterial small subunit ribosomal RNA", at positions 837 to 1520 of the family's 1533-position model. Lineage: Bacteria; Bacillati; Cyanobacteriota; Cyanophyceae; Synechococcales; Prochlorococcaceae. RNAcentral also lists the same sequence under 1 other name. The record is from RNAcentral.
CCUUCGGUGUCGUAGCUAACGCGUUAAGUGUUCCGCCUGGGGAGUACGCACGCAAGUGUGAAACUCAAAGGAAUUGACGGGGGCCCGCACAAGCGGUGGAGUAUGUGGUUUAAUUCGAUGCAACGCGAAGAACCUUACCAGGGUUUGACAUCCUGCGAACCUCUUAGAAAUUUGAGGGUGCCUUCGGGAAUGCAGUGACAGGUGGUGCAUGGCUGUCGUCAGCUCGUGUCGUGAGAUGUUGGGUUAAGUCCCGCAACGAGCGCAACCCACGUUUUUAGUUGCCAGCAUUUAGUUGGGCACUCUAGAAAGACCGCCGGUGAUAAACCGGAGGAAGGUGUGGAUGACGUCAAGUCAUCAUGCCCCUUACACCCUGGGCUACACACGUACUACAAUGCUACGGACAAAGGGCAGCAAACUCGCGAGAGCUAGCAAAUCCCAUAAACCGUGGCUCAGUUCAGAUCGUAGGCUGCAACUCGCCUACGUGAAGUAGGAAUCGCUAGUAAUCGCAGGUCAGCAUACUGCGGUGAAUACGUUCCCGGGCCUUGUACACACCGCCCGUCACACCAUGGAAGUUGGCCAUGCCCGAAGUCGUUACUCCAACCCUUGUGGAGGAGGACGCCGAAGGUGGGGCUAAUGACUGGGGUGAAGUCGUAACAAGGUAGCCGUACCGGAAGGUGCGGCUG